Molecule: ribosomal RNA, 253 nt
Filed under: uncultured bacterium
Lineage: Bacteria
Description: partial 16S ribosomal RNA
Rfam family: Bacterial small subunit ribosomal RNA
Source: RNAcentral
UACGGGGGGGGCAAGCGUUGUUCGGAAUUACUGGGCGUAAAGGGCUCGUAGGCGGCCAACUAAGUCGGAUGUGAAAUCCCCAGGCUUAACCUGGGAACUGCAUCCGAUACUGGAUGGCUUGAAUCCGGGAGAGGGAUGCGGAAUUCCAGGUGUAGCGGUGAAAUGCGUAGAUAUCUGGAGGAACACCGGUGGCGAAGGCGGCAUCCUGGACCGGCAUUGACGCUGAGGCGCGAAAGCGUGGGGAGCAAACAGG